GGCUCUGGUUGAUGAAGAAGACACGGGCGAAGGGAUCAGAGAGGCCACUGCUGUCAGCGGCAAAGAGGCUUCGGGCCUGAUACAUGUGGGCUCGGAGCUGGAAGGCCUGCUUCUCUGUGGGGAAGAACAGGUUGAGCCAUGCCAUCUGGGCCCCCCCAUGGCCCUCUGGGGGUUCAAACUGGGAGAGUGGCCCACCCAGGACGAAGAGUCCUCACUCACUGGUGUAGACCAGGCUGAUGGGCGGAAAGGAGUGCAGACCCAGGCCUUGGGCGGCCUUGACCUCCUCGAAGCCACAGGGCAGGCCACACAGGAAGUCCUUUCGCUGCUUACUGAGGCCCAGCCACAGGUAGAGCUCCAGCUUGGCCUGUACCGUCCAGCCUGCCGAGCCGAAGCCUCUUUUCCCUGGCAGCUAGGGGCAGGCUUGGGGUCACCAAGAGCCUGGUAACUUCCCGGGCUCACAGGGUAAGGUGGGGGGGGGGGACCCAGGGUGAAGCCUCAGGCAGGGUUAGACAAAGUUGGGCCUACCCCUUCACCGUAGGGAUGUGGGGGUGAAAGACUAAGAAGAGGGAUGGACAGAUGGGGCCGGGUGGGCUCCGGACCUCUGCUGCUAGUUAAGGGCUCUACCUCCUCCUCUUAGGCUUGCCAGACUCGGUGGAGCCUCUACAGGAACCCACCUCACCCCACCCAAGUCCCAUCCCCUGCAGCACCUUGAGGAAGAGGGUCUUGACUUUGGCACAGUCCUUGCCCAGUUCCUCUUCCACAAUGGAGAAGAGCAGGUCUUUGGAGGGCACCCGGGCAUAGGCGAUGCGUUUGUUGUUGCUCAUCAUCCAGAUGAACACAUCUGGAAUGCUGUGCUGGGGCUGCAGUAGAGAGAGAGAGCCAAGGGCACACGCCAGGGGGACCCAGCCUCAGUGUAUAAUGGUACCCUGAGCCUGAUGCACCACACUCGGGAGAGCAGGAACCUGACUGAGGAGAAGCUGGGGGCUUGGAGGGGAAAGACCCUCAUUCUUGGGUUUUCCUUUUUCUCCCGCUGAACUUGCUCCAUCUUGUCCAGAGUGGCUAUCUGAGCAACAGGAUCCACCCAGGGUGUGGGCUUUCUGGCCAGCCCUUUUCUAGGCUGUCCCUGUCCUCUCGGCCACCCACCUCAUCUGCCAGGAAGCGUAGCUUCUGCAGGAAGUUCUGGCACAUCCUCAGCUUGUCCCGGACAGUGUGUCGCUUUACCUGAGCCCUCAGGUUCUUGGCCUGUUGUCCCAUGCUCUCCUGGUGGGAAGAGUGUGGGUAGGAGGAACACUCAGCUUUCAGUGACAGCCUGAGCCACGACAUCAGGAGCAGAUGUCCCUGCUCAUUGGCUUUUCUUGAUCCCGGGGUCCAACAGUAACUCACCAGCUCCCUCAUACAGGACUUGAGGCGCUCGCGGUCCAGCCUGGUGCGGGACGAGUGGCCCUGGUCCUUGUCCGAGAGGGAGAGGAAGCGGCUGUAGAGGGACCGGGGUAGGGAAGACCCAGGGCUUAGUCUCCUCUGCCCUGACCUGGCUGUAGUGUCCACUGUCCCACCCUGCCCUCCCUGUCCACCCUCUUACUGGCAGCCACAGCUCAGCUCCUCUAGCACACCCCGCAGGCGGCGCUCCGGGUAGGACUUCUCCGUUUUGAUCAUCUCCUGCACGUCAUUCAGACCUUCUUCCUGUGAACCGGGGUUUCAAGUGCACUCUGGGCCCCAGCCCUCCUCAUCCCAGAUGUCAGUCCCAUUCACCCCAGGAAAGAGGAACCUAGUAACGGGGGGGCCGUUCCAUAUGUAUUAUGAAGGAGCCAAGUUCCCAGGGCCUGUUUUAGACGUUAGGGAUUCUUGGUUACUCAUGGGUCCUCAGCUCCUCCAGGAAGAAGUAUCCUGGGCUGGGACCAUGGUGGGCUGAGCACGACCCCGGGCUGGAGAGAGGCCUUGUGCAGACUUGAAGCCUGCCCAGCUGCCUCUGAGAGCCCAGACCUAGAGGGUCAGACCCUUAGACUCUACUCCAGAGCACUGGGAUCCUGUUGGGGGGGGGGUCCCCUUUCUCUAUUUCAAGACAGCCUCUGGAUAGACAGCCUGUGUUUUACAGGUGAGGCCCUCACACAUGCCCAUACUUCCAGAUCCCACCACCCCCGCCUGGCCCUGACCAGCUUAUCAGCUAUGUGGUCCAUGAUGUUCGCAUUGUAGAGACGGCGUCGCUGGUCAGGCCACCAGCUCUUGAUGUAGAUGCAGGGUUUGCGCUCCAGGCUCCUUCCUGGGCCGAGGCCGCGGGGGCCGUGACAUGCCAUCCACUUCAUUGCCAUAGUUUCCUAGACAAAGAGUGGCUUGUAAGAGGCCUACACCCCACCCUCCAUCCAGUCCACAUCUGUCUCUUGGAGAGAAGCUAGAGCCAUCAGAGGAAGGAGCCUCCGCUGAUGAAAUGCUACCUUGAGAUCCAGCUGGCACGGGGUCAACGGUGACAACCCCAAACCUGAAACUCUCCACAUGAUCCCAGCAGCACUCACCAAUGGUCACUUCAAAGGGGCCUUGGUGAGGUGUGUGGGAGAGAAAGCCAGACUCCUGUUUCCCACAGCUGUAGGCACCACCUUUGGACAGGCGCCACUUCCUACACUCCACAGCAUGGAUCCUCAGUUUUUGUUUCGUUUCUGGAUGUAGGAUGUACACAUAUCCUGCCCCUCCUGCUUAGGAGACCUUCCCUCCUCUCUGUGUUCUCUUGGUUAUUCACGGGCCCUCAGCUCCUUCAGGGAGAAGCACUCUGGGCUGUGAUCAUGGUGGGUUGAACAGGACCUGGGGCUGGAGAGCAGCCUCAUUCUCUGUCACCAGCUACUUCUCUCAGGCUUAGGAUUUGUUGGGCCUCAUCCAACAAAUUUUGCCUUAUGUGAAUCUAAUUCGUCCU
Molecule: long non-coding RNA, 2899 nt
Organism: Peromyscus eremicus (cactus mouse)
Lineage: Eukaryota; Metazoa; Chordata; Mammalia; Rodentia; Cricetidae
Exons: 5
Source: RefSeq, a predicted model, not a curated record